RNAcentral lists this unclassified non-coding RNA (374 nucleotides) under uncultured Thermoleophilia bacterium. RNAcentral's name for it is "contains 16S-23S intergenic spacer region". The record is from RNAcentral. Lineage: Bacteria; Bacillati; Actinomycetota; Thermoleophilia.
UCCGGUUUGUCACCGGCAGUCUGGCGUGAGUCCCCAACUUAAUGCUGGCAACACGCCACGGGGGUUGCGCUCGUUGCGGGACUUAACCCAACAUCUCACGACACGAGCUGACGACAGCCAUGCACCACCUGUACACGGCCCUUACGGACCCAGCAUCUCUGCUGGUUUUCCGCGUAUGUCAAGCCCAGGUAAGGUUCUUCGCGUUGCGUCGAAUUAAACCACAUGCCCCGCUGCUUGUGCGGGUCCCCGUCAAUUCCUUUGAGUUUUAGCCUUGCGGCCGUACUCCCCAGGCAGGGCACUUAAUGCGUUAGCGCCGGCACGGGAGGAGUCGACACCUCCCACACCUAGUGCCCAUCGUUUACGGCGUGGACUAC